UGCGUAGGCGGUUAGAUAAGUCAGAUGUGAAAUCCCUGGGCUUAACCUGGGAACUGCAUUUGAUACUGUUUAGCUAGAGUAUGGUAGAGGAAAGCGGAAUUUCCGGUGUAGCGGUGAAAUGCGUAGAUAUCGGAAGGAACACCAGUGGCGAAGGCGGCUUUCUGGACCAAUACUGACGCUGAGGCACGAAAGCAUGGGGAGCAAACAGGAUUAGAUACCCUGGUAGUCCAUGCUGUAAACGAUGAGAACUAGCUGUUGGAAGGAUAAGCCUUUUAGUAGCGCAGCUAACGCGAUAAGUUCUCCGCCUGGGGAGUACGGCCGCAAGGUUAAA
RNAcentral lists this ribosomal RNA (331 nucleotides) under uncultured bacterium. RNAcentral's name for it is "bacterial SSU rRNA". It matches the Rfam family "Bacterial small subunit ribosomal RNA", at positions 568 to 898 of the family's 1533-position model. The record is from RNAcentral.